AUUCUCUUCGGAGAUAGUAAGGUGGCGGACGGGUGAGUAACACGUAAAGAACUUGCCCUGCAGUCUGGGACAACUAUUGGAAACGAUAGCUAAUACCGGAUAUUAUGCGAGAGCCGCAUGGCUCUUUCAUGAAAGCUGUAUGCGCUGCAAGAGAGCUUUGCGUCCCAUUAGUUAGUUGGUGAGGUAACGGCUCACCAAGACCGCGAUGGGUAGCCGGCCUGAGAGGGUGAACGGCCACAAGGGGACUGAGACACGGCCCUUACUCCUACGGGAGGCGGCAGUGGGGAAUAUUGGACAAUGGACCAAAAGUCUGAUCCAGCAAUUCUGUGUGCACGAUGACGGUCUUAGGAUUGUAAAGUGCUUUCAAUCGGGAAAAAGAAAGUGAUGGUACCGAUAGAAGAAGCGACGGCUAAAUACGUGCCAGCAGCC
RNAcentral lists this ribosomal RNA (429 nucleotides) under uncultured bacterium. RNAcentral describes it as "bacterial SSU rRNA". It matches the Rfam family "Bacterial small subunit ribosomal RNA", at positions 73 to 516 of the family's 1533-position model. The record is from RNAcentral.